GACAGAGGUGCCGAGCGUUAGGCGGAAUCACUGGGCUUAAAGCGUGUGUAGGCGGAUCGUUAAGUACCUUGUGAAAUCCCACGGCUUAACCGUGGAACUGCUGGGUAUACUGGCGAUCUUGAGCCACCUAGGGGCAACCGGAACAAAUGGUGGAGCGGUGAAAUGCGUAGAUAUCGCUUGGAACGCCGAAGGUGAAAACAGGUUGCUGGGGAUGUGCCGACGCUGAGACACGAAAGCCAGGGGAGCAAACGGG
RNAcentral lists this ribosomal RNA (253 nucleotides) under uncultured bacterium. RNAcentral's name for it is "partial 16S ribosomal RNA". It matches the Rfam family "Bacterial small subunit ribosomal RNA", at positions 524 to 776 of the family's 1533-position model. The record is from RNAcentral.